CCUACGGGAGGCUGCAGUGAGGAAUAUUGGUCAAUGGCCGGAAGGCUGAACCAGCCAUGCCGCGUGAAGGUCAGUGCCCUAUGGGCGUUAAACUUCUUUUGUGCGGGAGCAAUAAUGGUCACGUGUGGCCAGACGAGAGUACCGUACGAAUAAGCAUCGGCUAACUCCGUGCCAGCAGCCGCGGUAAUACGGGGGAUGCAAGCGUUAUCCGGAUUUACUGGGUGUAAAGGGCGUGUAGCCGGGUUGACAAGUCAGAUGUGAAAUCCUGCGGCUUAACCGCAGAACUGCAUUUGAAACUGUUGAUCUUGAGUACUGGAGAGGCAGACGGAAUGCCUAGUGUAGCGGUGAAAUGCGUAGAGAUUAGGAGGAACACCAGUGGCGAAGGCGGUCUGCUGGACAGCAACUGACGGUGAGGCGCGAAAGCGUGGGGAGCAAACAGGAUUAGAUACCCCAGUAGUC
This 459-nucleotide ribosomal RNA is filed under the name uncultured bacterium. RNAcentral describes it as "partial 16S ribosomal RNA". It matches the Rfam family "Bacterial small subunit ribosomal RNA", at positions 338 to 795 of the family's 1533-position model. The record is from RNAcentral.